Molecule: ribosomal RNA, 406 nt
Filed under: uncultured bacterium
Lineage: Bacteria
Description: partial 16S ribosomal RNA
Rfam family: Bacterial small subunit ribosomal RNA
Source: RNAcentral
AUUGAACGCUGGCGGCAGGCCUAACACAUGCAAGUCGAACGAGUGGCGGACGGGUGGGUAAUGUCGGGGAAACUGCCUGAUGGAGGGGGAUAACUACUGGAACCGGUGGCUAAUACCGCAUAACAUCCGAUGUGCCCAGAUUGGAUUAGCUAGUUGGUGUGGUAACGGCUCACCAAGGCGACGAUCCCUAGCUGGUCUGAGAGGAUGACCAGCCACACUGGAACUGAGACACGGUCCAGACUCCUACGGGAGGCAGCAGUGGGGAAUAUUGCACAAUGGGCGCAAGCCUGAUGCAGCCAUGCCGCGUGUAUGAAGAAGGCCUUCGGGUUGUAAAGUACUUUCAGCGGGGAGGCGGUAUCCGCAGAAGAAGCAACGGCUAACUCCGUGCCAGCAGCCGCGGUAAUAC